Molecule: non-coding RNA, 64 nt
Organism: Thalictrum thalictroides
Lineage: Eukaryota; Viridiplantae; Streptophyta; Magnoliopsida; Ranunculales; Ranunculaceae
Source: the annotation of a GenBank genome assembly
GCCCUAUGAAGAAGAAAUCUCAUUGUAGCAAGUGCCGGAUGACACUUCACACACUAUGUUCUGU